GUGAGGAAUUUUCCGCAAUGGGCGAAAGCCUGACGGAGCAAUGCCGCGUGAAGGAUGAAGGCCUAUGGGUUGUAAACUUCUUUUCUCAGAAAAGAAUUAUGACGGUAUCUGAGGAAUAAGCAUCGGCUAACUCUGUGCCAGCAGCCGCGGUAAGACAGAGGAUGCAAGCGUUAUCCGGAAUGAUUGGGCGUAAAGCGUCUGUAGGUUGUUUAAAAAGUAUUCUGUCAAAGAUUAGGGCUUAACCCUAGAUAGGCAGAAUAAACUUUUAAGCUAGAGUUUGGUAGAGGCAGAGGGAAUUCCCGGUGGAGCGGUGAAAUGUGUAGAUAUCGGGAGGAACACCAAAGGCGAAGGCACUCUGCUGGGCCAAUACUAACACUGAGAGACGAAAGCGAGGGGAGCAAAUGGGAUUAGAAACCCGGGUAGUCC
Molecule: ribosomal RNA, 426 nt
Filed under: uncultured bacterium
Lineage: Bacteria
Description: bacterial SSU rRNA
Rfam family: Bacterial small subunit ribosomal RNA
Source: RNAcentral